AUGAACGCUGGCGGCGUGUCUAAGGCAUGCAAGUCGAACGGAUUCUUUUCCGUAGCAAUACGGAAAAACAGUAAGUGGCAAACGGGAGCGUAACACACUGGUAACCUACCCCGAGGUUCGGCAUAACUCCGCGAAAGCGGAGCUAAUUCCGGAUGUGAUCCCCUUCUUCGUGAAGGGGAUGAAAGCAGCAAUGCACCUUGGGAGGGGCCUAUGGCUCAUCAGCUAGUUGGUAGGGUAAUGGCCUACCAAGGCAACGACGAGUAGCGGGUGUGGGAGCACGAUCCGCCUCACAGGGACUGAGACACUGCCCUGACACCUACGGGUGGCUGCAGUCGAGAAUCUUCCCCAAUGGACGAAAGUCUGAGGGAGCGACGCCGCGUGCAGGAAGAAGCUCUUCGGGGCGUAAACUGCUUUUGUAAGGGAACAAGUCAUGAGUGUACCUUACGAAUAAGUACCUGCUAAACUCGU
This 468-nucleotide ribosomal RNA is filed under the name uncultured bacterium. Its description in RNAcentral is "bacterial SSU rRNA". It matches the Rfam family "Bacterial small subunit ribosomal RNA", at positions 29 to 506 of the family's 1533-position model. The record is from RNAcentral.